GACGAACGCUGGCGGCGUGCCUAAUACAUGCAAGUCGAGCGGAAAUUUGAGAGCUUGCUCUCAAAUUUUAGCGGCGGACGGGUGAGUAACACGUGGGCAACCUACCUUGUAGAUUGGGAUAACUCCGGGAAACCGGGGCUAAUACCGAAUAAUCCAUUUUGCUUCAUGGCGAGAUGUUGAAAGACGGUUUCGGCUGUCACUAUAAGAUGGGCCCGCGGCGCAUUAGCUAGUUGGUAGGGUAAUGGCCUACCAAGGCGACGAUGCGUAGCCGACCUGAGAGGGUGAUCGGCCACACUGGGACUGAGACACGGCCCAGACUCCUACGGGAGGCAGCAGUAGGGAAUCUUCCACAAUGGACGAAAGUCUGAUGGAGCAACGCCGCGUGAGUGAAGAAGGUUUUCGGAUCGUAAAACUCUGUUGUAAGGGAAGAACACGUACGAGAGUAACUGCUCGUACCUUGACGGUACCUUAUUAGAAAGCCACGGCUAACUACGUG
Molecule: ribosomal RNA, 496 nt
Filed under: uncultured bacterium
Lineage: Bacteria
Description: bacterial SSU rRNA
Rfam family: Bacterial small subunit ribosomal RNA
Source: RNAcentral